Molecule: ribosomal RNA, 393 nt
Filed under: uncultured bacterium
Lineage: Bacteria
Description: partial 16S ribosomal RNA
Rfam family: Bacterial small subunit ribosomal RNA
Source: RNAcentral
AUACGGAAGGUCCGGGCGUUAUCCGGAUUUAUUGGGUUUAAAGGGAGCGCAGGCGGAGAUGCAAGCGUGACGUCAAAUUUCGGGGCUCAACCCCGUCUCGCGUCGCGAACUGCGUCCCUUGGUUGCGGGAAGGGGAGGCGGAACUCGUUGUGUAGCGGUUAAAUGCAUAGAUAUCACGAAGAACUCCGAUAGCGAAGGCAGCCUUCCGGCCCGUCAACGACGCUCAUGCUCGAAGGUGCGGGUAUCAAACAGGAUUAGAUACCCUGGUAGUCCGCACAGUAAACGAUGGACACCCGCGGUUUGGCCUGUAUGGCUGAGCCGCCAAGCGAAAGCGUUAAGUGUCCCACCUGGGGAGUACGCCGGCAACGGUGAAACUCAAAGGAAUUGACGGGG